CUACGGGAUGCUCCAGUGAGGAAUAUUGCACAAUGGGGGGAACCCUGAUGCAGCAACGCCGCGUGGAGGAUGACGCAUUUCGGUGUGUAAACUCCUUUUAUAUGUCAAGAAAAUGACGGUAGCAUAUGAAUAAGCACCGGCUAACUCCGUGCCAGCAGCCGCGGUAAUACGGAGGGUGCAAGCGUUACUCGGAAUCACUGGGCGUAAAGGACGCGUAGGCGGGCUUGUAAGUCAGGUGUGAAAUCCUACAGCUUAACUGUAGAACUGCUCUUGAAACUACGAGCCUAGAGUAUGGGAGGGGCAGAUGGAAUUAGUGGUGUAGGGGUAAAAUCCGUAGAUAUCACUAGGAAUACCUAAAGCGAAGGCGAUCUCCUGGAACAUUACUGACGCUAAGGCGUGAAAGCGUGGGGAGCAAACAGGAUUAGAUACCCCAGUAGUC
This 439-nucleotide ribosomal RNA is filed under the name uncultured bacterium. RNAcentral's name for it is "partial 16S ribosomal RNA". It matches the Rfam family "Bacterial small subunit ribosomal RNA", at positions 339 to 795 of the family's 1533-position model. The record is from RNAcentral.